CGCUGGCGGCGUGCCUAACACAUGCAAGUCGAGCGGGGACAGCGGAGUAGCAAUACGAAGCUGUCUAGCGGCGGACGGGUGAGUAACGCGUGAGCAACCUGUCCCAGUCAGGGGGAUAACGAGCCGAAAGGCUCCCUAAUACCGCAUGAGACCACAGCGCCACAUGGCGCAGGGGUCAAAGGAGAAAAUCCGGACUGGGGUGGGCUCGCGUCUGAUUAGCUAGUUGGUGAGGUAAAGGCCCACCAAGGCGACGAUCAGUAGCCGACCUGAGAGGGUGAUCGGCCACAUUGGAACUGAGACACGGUCCAAACUCCUACGGGAGGCAGCAGUGGGGAAUAUUGGGCAAUGGGGGAAACCCUGACCCAGCAACGCCGCGUGAAGGAAGAAGGUUUUCGGAUCGUAAACUUCUAUCCUUGGUGAAGAUAAUGACGGUAGCCAAGAAGGAAGCCCCGGCUAACUACGUGCCAGCAGCUGC
This 475-nucleotide ribosomal RNA is filed under the name uncultured bacterium. RNAcentral describes it as "bacterial SSU rRNA". It matches the Rfam family "Bacterial small subunit ribosomal RNA", at positions 34 to 518 of the family's 1533-position model. The record is from RNAcentral.